GCUAGCUAUUAGUAGUUUUUUAUGUUAUGUAGCUUUGGCACCUCCACCGAGGCAUCAGCACCCGCGGUGCUUUCAUUUAUAUUGGUGCUACUUAUUGUCAUUGUCAUUGACUUUUGAGACAAUUAAUUAGUGGGAGGGGGCGGGGCUGGUGUUUCCCUCUUAGGCUAAAGGGAAAUGAAUUAAACACCAGCCCCGCCCCCUCCUCUCCUUACUUCUGACUUUUGAUGGUGCCACGUGGAUCAGAAACAAAAGAGAAAAGUAUUCAAAGCAAGAAGACUGAGUGCAGGCUUAAAGAGUCUAGCUGUGUGUUGUCAGAUGAGGCUGUGUGGUGAGUAGCUCUAUCACAAGUCAGUGGAGGACCAGGAGAGGAGCAUCCUAGAGAGGAAUAGGAAGAUACAGCACGCCAUUAUGGUGUGUGAUAGGGCAUGCCUGACAGAGUGUGGUGGUCCGGGGGCUGACAGCUGUAAGGAGUGUGCCCUGUGAUAUGAGGAGGUGGAGGGAUCUUGUACAGAUAUUGAUGAGUGUAGAGAAGAUGACUCCAUCUGUUCUGAUGGUACCUACUGUCUCAACACCCUGGGGAAGCAUCACUGUCAGGGUGUUAUAUGUGACAGGGCCUAGGAAAACAACCCUUAUGGAGCAAACUAAUAAUGUUCAGUACGCUACAAAGUAAAAUAUUUAGAGCUAUUUUAGGAUUUUGGUUUUCUUUCAUAAGAAGUAACUUCAAUAUCUCCUCUAACUUAAAAAAAAAUUUUUUUAUCCGAAAUUUUUUUUGUAUAGCCGUUAAAUGGCUGCCAUUGAAUUUGUUCAUGCUGUUCUUGUAUGCGGAUAGAA
Halichondria panicea is the source of this 831-nucleotide long non-coding RNA. RefSeq lists it as uncharacterized. Lineage: Eukaryota; Metazoa; Porifera; Demospongiae; Suberitida; Halichondriidae. The record is from RefSeq and is a predicted model, not a curated record. The transcript has 4 exons.